UCACAUGCAAUAGAUAUCAUAGAUUUACUCACAUCUUUACCACAUUCAUACUAUAAUCAUUAUAAACUCAUCACAUAAUACCAUAGCACAUGCAUGCAUAAUUAAAAUAGAUUUACAACCCCAUAAUCAAAAUAGGCCAACACAUAUGGUUAAAUCCAUAUCACAUACUCUAAUAUUUAAACUCCUAUACAUGCCAUAGGCUCAAAGUACUUGAAAUCACUACACCAAUAGCGUUAGCUUGACAGUGUGAUAAUAUCUCUGACAGCCUCCAACCUGAGCUAACCUGAAAACUCUAGAAAACAUGGGAAAAAAGAGGGGGGUAAGCUUUCGCUUAGUAAGUUCAUAUAAAAACCAUAAGCAACUCAUUAACUUGUUUUAUCAAUGUUUACAACAUAUUCUCAAGUUCACUACAAGCUGUCUUUCUGAGCAAUGGUCACUAAAUUAUUUAUAUCUGGAGCUACAAAACUCCGAAUUAAGUUCCGUUAAUUUUCCCUAAAACUAGACUUAUUUUCCUUUCUUCCAUAAAAUUUCCAUAAUUUUUGGUUAAGCCAAAUAGUACAGUUUAUUCCUCAAAGUUACCCUUGAUUCACUGUCUGACAGUUCCGACCCUUCUGUACUAAAGUUCGAUUAUCUCAUAGUACAAGAUCGAAUAAUGUUCUUGUCUAUUUCUAUUGAAACUAGACUCAUAUGUUUACUUACUAAUUUUUUUCUAAAAUUUUUGGUUGGGCCAAUUAGUACAGUUUAUUAGUUAAAGUCUCCCCAGUUUCAGGGUAUGACCACUCUGAUCCCUGUGCACUACAAACCGAAUUUCUCCCUGUACAGAAUUCCAACGACCAUUCCGUUUAUUUCCCCUAAAAAUAGACUCAAUAAGGAAUCCAUGCAUGUAAGGUAUGACUCUUAAUAAUUUUUUUAAAAUUUUUGGUGAAUUUCUAAAGUCUGAAUAGGGGAUCUCGAAGUCAUUCAGACCCUGUUUCACAAGAAUUAAAAUAUCAAACAAUAUGGAAUUCUUUUUCUUCCCCUGUUUCUUUCAUGUGAAAAUAGACUCAUUAAUCUUUAAUCCCGUAUUUUAUUCUGCCUCUAACUCAUUUUCCACUAUUUUUAGUGUAUUUUCAAAGUUACACUACUGCAGUAACUCAAAUCUGUCAAGGCUAAAUUACUCAUUCAUGAUCAUUGUUCACAAAAUUAAUACAACAUCAUUUGUAUAAUCAUCACCGAGACAUUCAUAUCACAUUUUCAUUUACCAUCUUACCAUUUUGUUGUUAUGUCGAGUUUUCAACCCGAGGGUUAAGUACAUACCUGUUCAAAGUAUCCAUUUCACAACAUUUAUCAAUACGUCCCUUUCAUCUCGAGUAUUCCUCCAUUUGAGUAGAACUUUACCCAUUGAAUACAUCGGAAUAUAAUUCGGAUACAUGGAAAGUUUGCACAUAAGUGCCACAUAUGUAGCUAAGCUACCAUGUAACCCGCCCAUAAGUGAACUCGGACUCAACUCAACGAGCUCGGGCGUUCGCAUCCAUAAGUGAACUCGGACUCAACUCAACGAGCUCGGAUGCCUAGUUACAUCUCACGAACUCGGACUCAACUCAACGAGUUCAAACAUUCGCAUCCAUAAGUGAACUCGGACUCAACUCAACGAGCUCGGAUGCCCAAAUAUUCCAAUGACAUGUCACUUGUAUCCUAAUCUAUUCCUAAGGUUCAACGGGACCUUUUUCCCAAUCAUGAGUCUCAACCAUCUUCUACGGAAUGCCGAUACCAAUACUUGGUAGUAUUUCACAUUUUCCAAGUAUAUCAUAUAAUUUGACAUAUUAUCAAACAAUUAUCACAAGUAUAAUAUCUCAUAAUAAUUAUCAUAUCAUUUAAAUAACAUCAAAACAUUUAAAAUAAUAACUAUGUUACCAACAUUUACAUAUGAACCUACCUCGAUACCACAAAGGUGAAAAAAAAAGACGUAAUUAUCCCUUAAUCGAUUUCUUUCCGUUCUAGGUCCAAAUCUCGAUUUUCAUCAUCUAAAAUAUCACAUUCAACUUAUUAAAACAAUUUACUGAUCAAAUUAGUCCAUUGACACACUUGAGCAAUUUUUACAAUUUUGCCCCUAUAUUUUGCCAAAAUUACCAAAUUACCCCUAGGCUCGUAAAAUAAUUUUUAUCACAUUUCUUUACUCCUUGAGUCUAGAUGAACCAUUUUCAUAACUAUAGCAACUCAUAAUUUCAACUAUUUCACACAUUUACAACUCAUUUUACAACUUAGCAAUCUAGCCCUUUUUAAGGUGUUUUCAUGCAAUUUCUUUCACAAAAGUUGUUUAUUAGACAACUAGGACUCAUAAUCUUCCAUAAAAACACAGCAAACAACACAUUUACUCUAUUGGAAAAACCCUAGACUCUUCAUCAUUUUGCAAAAUAGACCCCUCAUAUGAAAGCUCAUGCUUUAGGGGUUCCAAAAAUGUAAAAAUCAUCAAGAAAGACAUUAAAAAUCACUUACUAGCAAGGGAUGUAAGUGGCUGAUAUUUCAGAACUUCAAAACCCCUUUCUUUUCUGCCAUUUUCGGUGGAGGAGAAGAGAAAAAUGAUAGCUUUUU
RNAcentral lists this long non-coding RNA (2571 nucleotides) under Gossypium barbadense (sea-island cotton). RNAcentral's name for it is "long non-coding RNA (GBAR_LNC012205)". The record is from RNAcentral. Lineage: Eukaryota; Viridiplantae; Streptophyta; Magnoliopsida; Malvales; Malvaceae.